CCUACGGGUGGCAGCAGUGAGGAAUAUUGGUCAAUGGACGAGAGUCUGAACCAGCCAAGUAGCGUGAAGGAUGACUGCCCUACGGGUUGUAAACUUCUUUUAUAUGGGAAUAAAGUGUUCCACGUGUGGGAUUUUGUAUGUACUAUAUGAAUAAGGAUCGGCUAACUCCGUGCCAGCAGCCGCGGUAAUACGGAGGAUCCGAGCGUUAUCCGGAUUUAUUGGGUUUAAAGGGAGCGUAGAUGGAUUGUUAAGUCAGUUGUGAAAGUUUGCGGCUCAACCGUAAAAUUGCAGUUGAUACUGGCAGUCUGGAGUACAGUAGAGGUGGGCGGAAUUCGUGGUGUAGCGGUGAAAUGCUUAGAUAUCACGAAGAACUCCGAUUGCGAAGGCAGCUCACUGGACUGCAACUGACACUGAGGCUCGAAAGUGUGGGUAUCAAACAGGAUUAGAUACCCUUGUAGUC
This 460-nucleotide ribosomal RNA is filed under the name uncultured bacterium. RNAcentral describes it as "partial 16S ribosomal RNA". It matches the Rfam family "Bacterial small subunit ribosomal RNA", at positions 338 to 795 of the family's 1533-position model. The record is from RNAcentral.